UACCAGCACCCCGAGUGGUCGGGACGUUUAUUGGGCCUAAAGCAUCCGUAGCCGGUUCUACAAGUCUUCCGUUAAAUCCACCUGCUUAACAGAUGGGCUGCGGAAGAUACUAUAGAGCUAGGAGGCGGGAGAGGCAAGCGGUACUCGAUGGGUAGGGGUAAAAUCCGUUGAUCCAUUGAAGACCACCAGUGGCGAAGGCGGCUUGCCAGAACGCACUCGACGAUGAGGGAUGAAAGCUGGGGGAGCAAACCGG
This 253-nucleotide ribosomal RNA is filed under the name uncultured bacterium. Its description in RNAcentral is "partial 16S ribosomal RNA". It matches the Rfam family "Archaeal small subunit ribosomal RNA", at positions 474 to 727 of the family's 1478-position model. The record is from RNAcentral.